CCUACGGGAGGCAGCAGUAGGGAAUUUUCGGCAAUGGGGGGAACCCUGACCGAGCAACGCCGCGUGAACGAAGAAGUAUUCGUAAUGUAAAGUUCUUUUAACAGGGAAGAAAGAGAAAUUUGACGGUACCUGAAGAAUAAGCCCCGGCUAACUACGGGCCAGCAGCCGCGGUAAUACGUAGGGGGCGAGCGUUAUCGGGUAUUAUUGGGCGAAAGGGGGGCGUAGAUGGCAUAGAAGGUUUUUGGGAAAAAUGCUGGGCUCAACCCAGUAGGGCAAAAGAUACUGGAAAGCUAGAGUAUGACAGAGGCAAGUGGAACUACAUGUGUAGCGGUAAAAUGCGUAGAUAUAUGUAAGAACACCAGUGGCGAAGGCGGCUUGCUGGGUCGAUACUGACAUUGAGGCACGAAAGCGUGGGGAGCAAACAGGAUUAGAUACCCUAGUAGUC
RNAcentral lists this ribosomal RNA (445 nucleotides) under uncultured bacterium. RNAcentral describes it as "partial 16S ribosomal RNA". It matches the Rfam family "Bacterial small subunit ribosomal RNA", at positions 338 to 795 of the family's 1533-position model. The record is from RNAcentral.